CCCCUAGAUGUUCUGGGCCGCACGCGCGCUACACUGAACAGUUCAACAAGUCUUAACCUUGGCCGAUAGGUCUGGGUAAUCUUUGAACGCUGUUCGUGACUGGGAUAGACCUUUGCAAUUAUGGGUCUUGAACGAGGAAUGCCUAGUAAUCGUAGGUCAUCAGCCUGCGAUGAUUACGUCCCUGCCCUUUGUACACACCGCCCGUCGCUCCUACCGAUUUCGAGUGGUUCGGUGAACCUUUCGGACCGGCAAUGCCUCGUGUUGCGCCGGAAAGUCAAGUAAACCAUAUCACUUAGAGGAAGGAGAAGUCGUAACA
RNAcentral lists this ribosomal RNA (316 nucleotides) under uncultured eukaryote. Its description in RNAcentral is "partial 18S ribosomal RNA". It matches the Rfam family "Eukaryotic small subunit ribosomal RNA", at positions 1470 to 1796 of the family's 1831-position model. The record is from RNAcentral.